CCCUAUUUAUAACAAUGAGAGCCUUGCCACUGACUUCAGUAGGAUCACGAUUUUACCCCUAAGGUGCAGUUGUGCUUUCCUAGGAAAGCUAAUGUAUAAAAUACAGCCUCUGCCAGCACAUCAUCGAUGCAAUAGCAUAGAAAGAGGAUAACAUUGAAUGACAUCCAUAGCCAAUAAUAGCUGCUGUGAGCAUCCCGUCGAGCAGUGUGUUAAUGUUAGUCACCAGCUUCCUGGGUUUGUAUAAGAUUAUUUUCUUCAUAUUUGAAUGAGGUAGACUCAGGAUGAAUUGGGGUUCUCUGUGGAACUGUGCUUAGCAUUUGUUUUUUGUAAUUUUUUUAAACUCAUCAAAGAAUGUCAGAUGUGGUAAAGCUGCUUUGAUUUUUAUUAACGAAGCACACCAUUUAUAACUAAGUAAGUUUUUUAAGCCCUUUGAGGCACUGUUUAAUUUUUCAGCUCUCUUUUUUUUUGAUUCUAUCUAGUUCUGCAUUAGCUUCCUAUCCUCAGGUCUUACCUUUUGUAAAGCAGAUGUUGUCGUCCAUGCAUCUCUGGGAGGUAUUUUGUACCUCAUGAAAGAAGGAAAAAGAGCCUUGAUUCGGAUCCCAGUCUUCACUGACCAGCUGUAGGCAGUGUGCUGUGGACAUCAGCAACAUUACAGCGGGUCUUUGGCCAGUAUCUUGCCUACAAGUCAAGGAUUGUUGCUCCAUAUCUGCCAGAAAAAUCAGCAAAGCUAACAUUGGCAGACCAUAAUGAAGAAGCUCUCCAGCGAACUGAGAGCCUCUGGGCUGCAGAUCUACCACUAAAAACCACCAGUGGCUGUGAAAAGGGAGUGAAAAAUACAAAAUGAAAAAUCCUGCAUUGGCUGAAGGACGUGCAGAAUCCUUUUCCAUCUGUAGUUUUUGUGAUUGUUAAUACUUCCAUGAAAUGCUGCUGGACUGCCAUAGAGCAAAUUUCAAGCAAGAGAUGAACGCAUCUGGUUUGAUCUUCGAGCCUCUUUGAUAAGGUGCAGGUAAGAGUCAAUGUCAUCUCUGCACACUGUGGCAUGUUUUAAUAUCUGCUGUUACUUUCUGGGUUGGUUUUCGGUUUGAGUCCUUAAUUUAUGACCUUUUUUUUUUCAUUUAGCCAUUGAUUACACCCCAGAAGGUGUGAUUUGCUUGAACUACAAAAUCCCUGUUUGUUGUGGUGCUAAUAAGCAUUGUGCCUACUGAAAGCUGCAGCAGAAGAGAAAGGGAGGAGGCCUAACAGGCUUGACACCGUCUUUUGUCUGUGUUGCAGCAAGGGGAGAAGGAAAGAUGUCUAGGAAU
Molecule: long non-coding RNA, 1301 nt
Filed under: Calidris pugnax (ruff)
Lineage: Eukaryota; Metazoa; Chordata; Aves; Charadriiformes; Scolopacidae
Description: lncRNA (ENSCPUG00000004435.1)
Source: RNAcentral